CCCUUAGAUGUCCUGGGCCGCACGCGCGCUACAAUGACUCACUCAGAAAGUUUUUCCUGAUCCGGAAGGAUUCGGGUAAUCUUCAUAGCAUGAGUCGUGUUAGGGAUCGAUCUUUGCAAUUAUAGAUCUUGAACGAGGAAUGCCUAGUAAGUGCAGCUCAUCAGGCUGUACUGAUUACGUCCCUGCCCUUUGUACACACCGCCCGUCGCCCCUACCGAUUGAGUGGUCCGGUGAACCUUCUGGAUUAAGCAGCAAUGCUUGAGAAGUUAGGUAAACCUUAUCACUUAGAGGAAGGAGAAGUCGUAACA
RNAcentral lists this ribosomal RNA (308 nucleotides) under uncultured eukaryote. RNAcentral's name for it is "partial 18S ribosomal RNA". It matches the Rfam family "Eukaryotic small subunit ribosomal RNA", at positions 1470 to 1796 of the family's 1831-position model. The record is from RNAcentral.